This 2710-nucleotide ribosomal RNA is filed under the name Triticum aestivum (bread wheat). RNAcentral describes it as "partial small subunit ribosomal RNA". The record is from RNAcentral. Lineage: Eukaryota; Viridiplantae; Streptophyta; Magnoliopsida; Poales; Poaceae.
CCGCUCGCUCGCUCAGUUGCUCACAGCGCUAGCUCCACUCGCUCUCCCAGUCACUCUCCCAGAUCCGCUCGUCGGCGGCCCGCGUCCCCAUCGCCAGCCUCCCCUCUGCCACUCCCCCUCGACGUCGGUCUCCCCUCUGCCUCUCCCUCUCGACGUCGCCGGCCUCUUCCACCACCCGUCCUCCAGUCACAGUCUGUAUGCGCCGCUGAAAAAUUUGAUUUUUUUCCGCCGGUGACGAGCUUCUAUGCGGUGGAGGCGCGCGGGCGCUCGAUCUACGUGCGCCGGUGGAUCUACCCCUCCCCAGCUCCUACCUCCACCCCUACAGAAGGCGAAGAAGACUCGGCCCAGCUCCCUCCUCUCCCGGAUCCCCAGGCCCAGCACGACGUCGCCGGCGCCCGGGCGCUUGAAGAGGCGGAAUCGGAGCUGCUGCUGGUGGUGGAGGCCCCCGGGGGAGGCGCUGGGGGAGGAGGCCUCCGCCGCGUCCUUGGGCGGGCUGCCCAGGCCGUCAGUCCGCGGCGAGCGCAGGGAGCCACUAGUGGCGAACAAUUCCGUGGCGGCGGCGCCGGACUACGGGGACUACAGGGAGUUCCUGUCCCAUUACUGCAGGUGGGGUGUAGUUGAGGUCUGGGAGAUCCAUGUUAUCCAAGCAACUGAAAAGAACAUUUAAGGAUCUCUCCUGGCCAUGGAUCCAAGUACUGAAAUAGGGGUCUUCUCUCCUCUUAAGUAGAUAGCUCUAGGAGGAGCUGCAGGAGGUUUGGCAUUAGUUGGUGCCAUCACACUCAUUGUAGUGAUAUGCCUACCGCACCGCGGAAGGAAUUCAGAUUCUUCAGAGAGUAAUUCGUCCGGUCAAGCUCUUCCAGACAUGCAAGGAGCAACAUGUAUGACACUGGAGGAACUAAGGUCUGCUACAAAUAACUUCAGCAGCUCGAAUCUCGUCGGACAUGGAAUGUUCGGAGAGGUAUACAACGGUUUGCUCCAUGGAUAGGAUAGGUACUGCAGACAGACAGUGGGCCACUGUAUAUUGCCCUAACAUAGCAUGGCUGAAAUAGAAUCAGUUUUUUCUCUUCUAUUUUUCAGAUGAGAGACAGCUUUACAGAAAUGAAAAUCACACUCCAAAAAGGGUUUUCGUCGCAAAAUUAGGCAGAAAAGGUAGGCAUCCAUGAGUUGCUCAAACAAAUCCAAAAAUAAACCCUUUUUUCCAGCACAAUUAUAGCGGUUUGCUCCAUGUCCGCACAAUUAUAGCGGUUAAAAGGCGGCAUUCUCCUCCUAGCCAGGAAUUUCUUCAUGAGGUGCCAAAAUUUUCUCCUAGAGUAGUGGCAUGUUGUAAGAAAUCAAAACCUUGCUUCCUGAGAUCAAAACCAAUACAUGAACUCAUGGUUAUUGGUGGCCUUUUCUCCCCAGGCUAAUUACAUGUCGUCUAUCCGUCGUCGUCCCAAUAAUUUGAACAAAUUCUGAUGGAGUAUUCACUCGAAUCAUUGGCAGCAAUUAUCUCUUGAAUUACUCUUGUCUUGAAUUAUUGGCAACAAAUAUUUCUUUGAAUUACUCUUGUUUAUGAUCAUCAAAUUGUUUACUCAUAUGAGCAAGUCUUAGUUUAUGAUCAUCUGAUUGCUUAUGAUCAUCAAAUCGCAUUUUGCGACCAUUCCCGCGAGGACUACGAUUCGGAUUAUCUAAUGUCAUCCCCAAACAGAUGAACCUAGGCCAGCAGCUCCUGUGCAGCGGCGAGUACUUCAGCGGCAGCAGCUCCUGUGUGUGGUGAGUGCUUCAGCGGCAGCAGCUCCCCUGGGUGCGUGCGGGCACCAGCUCGCCUUCACCAGCAGCCAGCAGCAGAGCAGCAGCUCGACUCCACCAGCAGACAGCAGCAGAGCACCAGCCCGCCUCCACGAGCAGGCGACAGCAGAGCAUCACCUAGGCGUGCGCGGUCCAGGAGGAGCCCUAGGACGGCGUGGGUGGAGGUGGAGGCGGGGGCCGAGGCGGAGGUGGAGAGCGGGGACGAAGGCGGAGGCGGAGGUGGAGGCGGGGGCGGAGGCGGAGGUGGAGGGCAGGGGCGGAGACGGAGGUGGAGGGCGGGGCCGGAGGCGGAGGUGGAGGGCAGGGGCGGUGGCGGAGGUGGAAGACGAUCCAGCGACCUGAUUCAAAAUUUAAACUAAGGGUAUAAAUGUCCAUUUUCCCAUUUUCACCUGGUCGGAACAUUUGCCCCAGCGACCUACAUUUCGGUACAGAGGGAGUAGAAUUCAAUUGACGUAUAUUGUGGUUUCAGUGCGUCUGAAAAGGGAAUUGCUACAUGUCAGUCGGCGGAUCUUUUCUGAAAGAUCCGCCGCCUCAACAACCAUUAUAUGUGGCGACAUCAAGCGACCCCCCAUGCUCUCAUCAUUCCAACAAAGGCAAUCUUGCAGUGCUUCUGAAAAGGGAACUGCUACACGUCGGUCGGCGGAUCUUUUUUGAAAGAUCCGCCGCCUCAACAACCAUUACAUGUGGCGACAUCAAGUGACCCAACCAUGCUCUCAUCAUUUCAACAAAGGCAAUGUUGCAGUGCUUCUGAAAAGGGAACUGCUACGCGUCGGUCGGUGGAUCUUUUCUGAAAGAUCCGCCGCCUCAACAACCAUUACAUGUGGCGACAUCAAGUGACCCAACCAUGCUCUCAUCAUUUCAACAAAGGCAAUGUUGCAGAACCUUUUGCAACAAAGCUCAUGUUGCAAAAACUUUUGAACAG